RNAcentral lists this ribosomal RNA (253 nucleotides) under uncultured bacterium. RNAcentral describes it as "partial 16S ribosomal RNA". It matches the Rfam family "Bacterial small subunit ribosomal RNA", at positions 524 to 776 of the family's 1533-position model. The record is from RNAcentral.
UACGUAAGUGGCAAGCGUUGUCCGGAAUUAUUGGGCGUAAAGAGCUCGUAGGCGGUCUGUCGCGUCGGAUGUGAAAAUCCAGGGCUCAACCCUGGACCUGCAUUCGAUACGGGCAGACUAGAGUUCGGUAGGGGAGACUGGAAUUCCUGGUGUAGCGGUGAAAUGCGCAGAUAUCAGGAGGAACACCGGUGGCGAAGGCGGGUCUCUGGGCCGAAACUGACGCUGAGGAGCGAAAGCGUGGGGAGCAAACAGG